Molecule: ribosomal RNA, 379 nt
Filed under: Glutamicibacter sp.
Lineage: Bacteria; Bacillati; Actinomycetota; Actinomycetes; Micrococcales; Micrococcaceae
Description: bacterial SSU rRNA
Rfam family: Bacterial small subunit ribosomal RNA
Source: RNAcentral
AGCCCAGCUUGCUGGGUGGAUUAGUGGCGAACGGGUGAGUAACACGUGAGUAACCUGCCCCUGACUCUGGGAUAAGCCCGGGAAACUGGGUCUAAUACCGGAUAUGACUUUUGACCGCAUGGUUGAGGGUGGAAAGAUUUAUCGGUUGGGGAUGGACUCGCGGCCUAUCAGCUUGUUGGUGAGGUAAUGGCUCACCAAGGCGACGACGGGUAGCCGGCCUGAGAGGGUGACCGGCCACACUGGGACUGAGACACGGCCCAGACUCCUACGGGAGGCAGCAGUGGGGAAUAUUGCACAAUGGGCGCAAGCCUGAUGCAGCGACGCCGCGUGAGGGAUGACGGCCUUCGGGUUGUAAACCUCUUUCAGUAGGGAAGAAGCG